UUUGCUCUCCUGAUGAAGACAAAGGCUGUUGAUCCACUGAACCCACCCAGACACUAUGUGGUUUCUUGAAUGUCCUACGUACAUUUUGAUGGAUUACCCAAGGACUAUCUGAUGAAGAAUAAUAGAGACAUAUAAAUACAUAUGGGCUACAUCUUGGCAAAAUAAAGUAAUCCUGAAGUAAAUUCUAAGGAUGUUCUGAAUUGACACCUCUUAAGCACAACCGAAUGUCCUGGUGGCUUUGCCUCCCACUGGGGCUUUUUGGCUCUUGUUUGGCCCCAGCGGCUGCUGCAGCUCUGUCUGAAUUCACACAGGAGCAACAUGAUGGUGCUCAGCCCUCGCCGAAGUGUCUUGCUGAAGAGUUGGGAGAUGCUUGGACUAUUCAGAUAGAAGCCAGCUGGAAGUACAGGGCAGUCAACACAAACCAGAGAGGCAAACUUUUGGCCAGUGAGACAUGGAAAGGGAGAAGAAAUACAUUCUUCUUUCUCCCCUAGAGUGAGGACCAACCUGAGUCCCAGUCACCUGGAAUCCCCUCAGACGAGCGUCCCUUGAGAUCCAGCACAUGGCAGCCAGCGUGCUGACGAUUCCUUCCUGCCUACUGGCUCCUUCUUAUUUCUGCCUCCGUGGAACUGUAUUCUCUAAUCAAUAUUAGCACAUACAUAUUGCCCCAGACUGUACCUCCU
Molecule: long non-coding RNA, 680 nt
Filed under: Homo sapiens (human)
Lineage: Eukaryota; Metazoa; Chordata; Mammalia; Primates; Hominidae
Description: non-protein coding lnc-SPOPL-18:1
Source: RNAcentral